AGAGUUAAUUCAUUAAAAUACUGACUUACCAUCAUUUUUUUCUUGAGCAAUAGAGAGCAGCUCGUUUUUCAAAAGUUACAAUCUCAGAUCAUUUUAUUUGAGAAUAGUAAGGCCAAAGUGUCCCAUAUUUCUUUUGGCGUAUUUUUUGUCUUUUAUGUGCACCAAUAAAUCUUCCUCGAUUGUUGUUUUUAUAACGAACAUAGCCUUGCCCACUUUAAUGUUCCACUUCUUCAGAGUUCUGACUUUCUCUAACGAUGUCACAUCAUUUCCGCCAACUAGGUCCCGUAAAUCUUGCCCUUAGAGGUAUAACUCUAUGCAAGUUUGCCACGCUUUAUGUUGAUUUUUAGGCUUUUUCAAUCCGCCUCACUUCGCAAGUCGUCCAUAGUGAUUUGAAUAACCUCCUCGUUAUCAAACAAGCUUCUAUAGAACUCCACAAUCUCAUUGGGCACAAGCUCCGAAAUCUCAAAAAUCCAUCCUCGAUUGCCUCACUCUGAUAUUGAAUUUAAUACUUAAAAAGAUCUCUUUUAUUAAUAUAAAAUCUCUUAUAAAACAUUGAACACAAACAAAAAUGCCACUCAAAAUGAGAAUGAUCACUCUACUAACUAUUUUUCCAGCAGCACAAUUUUCUCUCAUUCACCCACUAUUUCUCUCCCUCAAUUAUACAUUCUCUCUCUAUAUCUCUUUCCUUCUCCACCUUCUUAUUUAUCACACACACACAAAUUUAUAUGGACAUUUC
This 736-nucleotide long non-coding RNA is filed under the name Olea europaea (common olive). RNAcentral describes it as "long non-coding RNA (OEUR_LNC012230)". The record is from RNAcentral. Lineage: Eukaryota; Viridiplantae; Streptophyta; Magnoliopsida; Lamiales; Oleaceae.